ACAUGCAAGUCGGACGAACUUAUUUAGCUUGCUAAAUAAGUUAGUGGCAAACGGGUGAGUAACACGUGGGAAUCUACCCAGUAGUACGGAAUAACAGUUGGAAACGAUUGCUAAUACCGUAUAGUAUCGAGAGAUUAAAGAUUUAUCGCUACUGGAUGAGCCCGCGUCAGAUUAGGUAGUUGGUGGGGUAAUGGCCUACCAAGCCCGAGAUCUGUAGCUGGUCUGAGAGGAUGACCAGCCACACUGGAACUGAGACACGGUCCAGACUCC
This 270-nucleotide ribosomal RNA is filed under the name unidentified marine bacterioplankton. RNAcentral describes it as "partial 16S ribosomal RNA". It matches the Rfam family "Bacterial small subunit ribosomal RNA", at positions 53 to 339 of the family's 1533-position model. The record is from RNAcentral. RNAcentral also lists the same sequence under 1 other name.